AGAGUUUGAUCAUGGCUCAGGAUGAACGCUAGCGGCAGGCUUAACACAUGCAAGUCGAGGGGUAUAGGUUUUCGGACCUAGAGACCGGCGCACGGGUGCGUAACGCGUAUGCAAUCUACCUUUUACAGAGGGAUAGCCCAGAGAAAUUUGGAUUAGUACCUCAUAGUAUAAUGACUCGGCAUCGAGAUAUUAUUAAAGUCACAACGGUAAAAGAUGAGCAUGCGUCCCAUUAGCUAGUUGGUAAGGUAACGGCUUACCAAGGCAACGAUGGGUAGGGGUCCUGAGAGGGAGAUCCCCCACACUGGUACUGAGACACGGACCAGACUCCUACGGGAGGCAGCAGUGAGGAAUAUUGGUCAAUGGGCGCAAGCCUGAACCAGCAUGCCGCGUGCAGGAUGACGGUCCUAUGGAUUGUAAACUGCUUUUGCACAGGAAGAAACACUCGGACGUGUCCGAGCUUGACGGUACUGUGAGAAUAAGGAUCGGCUAACUCCGUGCCAGCAGCCGCGGUAAUACGGAGGAUCCAAGCGUUAUCCGGAAUCAUUGGGUUUAAAGGGUCCGUAGGCGGUUUUGUAAGUCAGUGGUGAAAGCCCAUCGCUCAACGGUGGAACGGCCAUUGAAACUGCAAGACUUGAAUUAUUAGGAAGUAACUAGAAUAUGUAGUGUAGCGGUGAAAUGCUUAGAGAUUACAUGGAAUACCAAUUGCGAAGGCAGGUUACUACUAAUGAAUUGACGCUGAUGGACGAAAGCGUGGGUAGCGAACAGGAUUAGAUACCCUAGUAGUCC
RNAcentral lists this ribosomal RNA (786 nucleotides) under uncultured bacterium. RNAcentral's name for it is "bacterial SSU rRNA". It matches the Rfam family "Bacterial small subunit ribosomal RNA", at positions 8 to 796 of the family's 1533-position model. The record is from RNAcentral.